This 672-nucleotide long non-coding RNA is filed under the name Ananas comosus (pineapple). Its description in RNAcentral is "long non-coding RNA (ACOM_LNC002829)". The record is from RNAcentral. Lineage: Eukaryota; Viridiplantae; Streptophyta; Magnoliopsida; Poales; Bromeliaceae.
AGAAAUAACCAAGAACACAGUACGUAUGUGGAUCGAAAGCGCUAACUAAUUAUUCUAAAAGUACGUACUGAUAGGAAAAAAACACUCACCGUAUUUAAGAAUUCAGUUACAGCACUUACGGGCUUUGACCUGACUCAAUCCAUCCAGAGGUUCGGUCUAUUAUUUUGGUGUCUCUUAUCGUUAGAUCUCUUAUAGAUCGCAGUCCUAUUCAACUUAAUUAUUAGUCUCAUCCAACUCAACUUAUUAAUCUUAUAUUGUUACGAGGCAAGGAAGCUAGACUCUUUUUGUCUCAAUAAUUAAUAGCCAACGGUGUACAGUGAAAGGGAGGAAUUUGCAACCCCUAGGUGCGUCGGCCGUCGAAAGAAUGCAACUCCACAUGCAGCUACUGUUGGCUUAGAUGAGCCAGCAUUCUACCCUGUGUGGACUGAGUCAGGUUCGAAUAGGCGUGAGGCUGGGUUUGACCGAGUUAUGUUUGAAUUGGCAUGAGGCUGAUUAAACUGAGUCACAAUCGAGAUCUGUGAGCAUUGUAUCUGUACGUCUUAAGUGAAUUGAUUGCGUAUUUAUAAUAUCUCGAACUUUUGAAAUUAAUGGUUAGCACCAAUGAUCGAACAGCUCCAAGGCCUCUACAAGCCCCUACAAGCCCUUGAUCUCUUUCUACAACAUUAAUCCUUU